AUCCUGAAAUUCAAAAUUCAAGUACGUUAUGGCACUGGAUAUGGAUGAAGAAUUAUGAAGCGGAAUUAAAUUAUAAUUUGGAAUAUUUGCAUACUUCAAAUACCUGUAAGUUACUUGAUUAUCACGGCUAAUAAGCUUAAGGCAAUAAUUAUCUAUUAUAAAACUUCUUCGUAUGUAUAGAGGAACAAUACCAGCCUCAACUUCCAAGGAAUUAAUUGGAGACGACAUCAUAGCACCAGUAAUUAUUCGUAAUGCUCUAUUUUGCACAAUAUCUAAUUUCCUAAGAAUAGAAAAAUUCGCGUCCGAAAAGAACAUACUGCCAUAAUCGAAAUGGCUUCGGAUUGUUGCAAUGUAAAUAGUUUUUAAAACUUUGGGAUCAGCUCCCCAUUUUACUCCAGUUAGCGAUUUUAAUAUAUUCAAACCUAAUUCAGCUCUUUUACAAAUAACAUCAAUAUGAGUUUUCCACGAAAGAUCAAAAUCUAGAGAAAGACCAACAUAUUUUACGAAAGAUUGAGCAGGAAUAAUAUCAUAAUUGUAUAAAACUUUAGGGUAAUGCAAUCCAUUUUGGGAAAAUAAAAUUGCAGAACUUUUGGAAAUAUUGACCUCAAGCUUUAGGGAAUUAGUAAGUAAAUCGUAAAUAUUACGCAAACAACUAUUCAUAACCGAUUCACCACUUUUAAUAUCAUUACAGUUUACAUAGAGAACAAGAUCGUCAGCAAAAAAUAAAUGUUUAACAGUAUUUGGAAUUUUCUUUAUGAAACGUACUAAACUAAGUAUGAAUAUGAGAGGUGAUAAAACGCAACCUUGAGGUGUACCUUUAGUAGAAAUUUUAGGACCAAAUAAACUAGAUUUAAUUUUCAAAAACAUAGAGCGCUUGUUCAGAAAAUUGUACAGCCAGAACAGAACAUGUCCUGGAAAGCCUAAAGAAUGUAGACUUUCAAUAAGAACCAGUUAUCGAGUCCAAAAACAAAGAUGCAUUAGCGGGAUUUUGAAAAAAACUUGAAGACGAAGAAAUAUGAUUGAGUUUAGCGUGUUUAAAUCUACGAAUGUGAUCCCAAAUAAUUUUACUCGAAGUCAAUCGAUUGAAUGAUGAGCAAAGAUUCAUCCAGCUUGAACGUUUUAUUUCAUAUAAAGUUCUUUUCUUCAAAGCGUCCAGCUUUUUGAAAAUAAUAUAGUUUUCCAUAUUUGGAUAAUGCUUGUACGAUAAUAAAGCAACUUUGGCUUGUAAAACUACGCGGUCACAAUCAGCAUUCCACCAAGGAACAGCUUUGGAACAAUUCCGUUUUUUGUGCGAGUAACACUUUUUGUCAAAAGUCAUUAAUAUGUCAUGUAAAAUACUCAAAAACAUAUUAUAAUUUUCAAGAGGGUUAUCAGCGAAGCUAAAACUUGAAAACUCACUUUCACAUAAGUUAUUAAAUUUUGACCAGUCAAUCUUAUUAAAAUUUAUGUUAGCUAAAGAGGUAUUAUCUAGUGUAUCAACUUGAUUUAUUGAAGAGGUGGUCGGGCCAAAGGAAGGAUGGGAAGGAAGAAAAGCAUCGUUAAAGACUUCAAUAAGUAGUGGGAAAUGAUUACUACUGAGCAAAUCAUCAAGGACAGAAACUGUGCAACUAGAGCUAAGAGCAGGGGAAGCGAAUACUAGAUCCAAUACAUUUCCUUGUUGACCAAAUGGGGCAAAGGUUGUGAUUGUGUCAUCAUUUAAACAAACUAACUCAGAACUUUCCACAUAAUCAUGAAGGGCUUUACCUCUUCUAUCAUUGACUCUUGAACUCCAGGAAGCAUGAUGUGCAUUGAAGUCACCAAUUAUUAAAUAAUUAUUUGAAACAAAUUUAGAACAUGAAUCUUUCAAUAAAUUAAUAGUGAACUUACCAUUUGGUGGUGGAGGAAUGUAAACACAUAGAAUGUCAAAAGAAAAAUUAUUAAUGUAAACUGUAAUUAAAAUAUUUUGAAAAUGAUAUUGAGAAA
Long non-coding RNA from Bombyx mori (domestic silkworm), 1962 nucleotides. RefSeq lists it as uncharacterized. NCBI's taxonomy places the organism in Eukaryota, Metazoa, Arthropoda, Insecta, Lepidoptera, Bombycidae. The transcript is spliced from 2 exons. The record is from RefSeq and is a predicted model, not a curated record.